Molecule: ribosomal RNA, 1244 nt
Filed under: Staphylococcus aureus
Lineage: Bacteria; Bacillati; Bacillota; Bacilli; Caryophanales; Staphylococcaceae
Description: bacterial SSU rRNA
Rfam family: Bacterial small subunit ribosomal RNA
Source: RNAcentral
GGAUCCGCGCUGCAUUAGCUAGUUGGUAAGGUAACGGCUUACCAAGGCAACGAUGCAUAGCCGACCUGAGAGGGUGAUCGGCCACACUGGAACUGAGACACGGUCCAGACUCCUACGGGAGGCAGCAGUAGGGAAUCUUCCGCAAUGGGCGAAAGCCUGACGGAGCAACGCCGCGUGAGUGAUGAAGGUCUUCGGAUCGUAAAACUCUGUUAUUAGGGAAGAACAUAUGUGUAAGUAACUGUGCACAUCUUGACGGUACCUAAUCAGAAAGCCACGGCUAACUACGUGCCAGCAGCCGCGGUAAUACGUAGGUGGCAAGCGUUAUCCGGAAUUAUUGGGCGUAAAGCGCGCGUAGGCGGUUUUUUAAGUCUGAUGUGAAAGCCCACGGCUCAACCGUGGAGGGUCAUUGGAAACUGGAAAACUUGAGUGCAGAAGAGGAAAGUGGAAUUCCAUGUGUAGCGGUGAAAUGCGCAGAGAUAUGGAGGAACACCAGUGGCGAAGGCGACUUUCUGGUCUGUAACUGACGCUGAUGUGCGAAAGCGUGGGGAUCAAACAGGAUUAGAUACCCUGGUAGUCCACGCCGUAAACGAUGAGUGCUAAGUGUUAGGGGGUUUCCGCCCCUUAGUGCUGCAGCUAACGCAUUAAGCACUCCGCCUGGGGAGUACGACCGCAAGGUUGAAACUCAAAGGAAUUGACGGGGACCCGCACAAGCGGUGGAGCAUGUGGUUUAAUUCGAAGCAACGCGAAGAACCUUACCAAAUCUUGACAUCCUUUGACAACUCUAGAGAUAGAGCUUUCCCCUUCGGGGGACAAAGUGACAGGUGGUGCAUGGUUGUCGUCAGCUCGUGUCGUGAGAUGUUGGGUUAAGUCCCGCAACGAGCGCAACCCUUAAGCUUAGUUGCCAUCAUUAAGUUGGGCACUCUAAGUUGACUGCCGGUGACAAACCGGAGGAAGGUGGGGAUGACGUCAAAUCAUCAUGCCCCUUAUGAUUUGGGCUACACACGUGCUACAAUGGACAAUACAAAGGGCAGCGAAACCGCGAGGUCAAGCAAAUCCCAUAAAGUUGUUCUCAGUUCGGAUUGUAGUCUGCAACUCGACUACAUGAAGCUGGAAUCGCUAGUAAUCGUAGAUCAGCAUGCUACGGUGAAUACGUUCCCGGGUCUUGUACACACCGCCCGUCACACCACGAGAGUUUGUAACACCCGAAGCCGGUGGAGUAACCUUUUAGGAGCUAGCCGUCGAAG